AUGCUGUGUUGGAAUGUGUGGGGCUUAAACAACCCUGCAAAGCGCUCGGUUGUUAGGGAGUUUGUGCAGGCAGCCAAGGUGAACCUAGUUUGCCUGCAGGAGACUAAGCUUGAUGCUUUGGACCAUUUUGAUGUAAUGCAAUGUUUAGGCCCGUCCUUUGACGGCUAUUAUUAUUUGCUGGCGUGCGAGACCCGUGGAGGGAUUGUUGGUGUGGGACACAAUGAUGAUGGGCAUCGAUAG
RNAcentral lists this ribosomal RNA (240 nucleotides) under Triticum aestivum (bread wheat). RNAcentral's name for it is "partial small subunit ribosomal RNA". The record is from RNAcentral. Lineage: Eukaryota; Viridiplantae; Streptophyta; Magnoliopsida; Poales; Poaceae.